GAAAAUUCAUGUUUUUAUGUCCCAAAUUUGAAAGUUUGCAAAA
This 43-nucleotide small RNA is filed under the name Arabidopsis thaliana (thale cress). RNAcentral describes it as "ATSL147310". The record is from RNAcentral. Lineage: Eukaryota; Viridiplantae; Streptophyta; Magnoliopsida; Brassicales; Brassicaceae.